RNAcentral lists this unclassified non-coding RNA (346 nucleotides) under soil metagenome. RNAcentral describes it as "partial contains 5.8S ribosomal RNA, internal transcribed spacer 2, and large subunit ribosomal RNA". The stretch from base 1 to 120 matches the Rfam family "5.8S ribosomal RNA", at positions 35 to 154 of the family's 154-position model. The record is from RNAcentral.
GAUGAAGAACGCAGCGAAAUGCGAUACGUAAUGUGAAUUGCAGAAUUCAGUGAAUCAUCGAGUCUUUGAACGCACAUUGCGCCCCCUGGUAUUCCGGGGGGCAUGCCUGUCCGAGCGUCAUUGCUGCCCUCAAGCCCGGCUUGUGUGUUGGGUCUCGUCCCCCUUCCCGGGGGGACGGGCCCGAAAGGCAGCGGCGGCACCGUGUCCGGUCCUCGAGCGUAUGCGGCUUUGUCACCCGCUCUGUAGGCCCGGCCGGCGCUUGCCGAUCAACCAAAACUUUUUUCCAGGUUGACCUCGGAUCAGGUAGGGAUACCCGCUGAACUUAAGCAUAUCAAUAAGCGGAGGA